This 155-nucleotide ribosomal RNA is filed under the name uncultured bacterium. RNAcentral's name for it is "partial 16S ribosomal RNA". It matches the Rfam family "Bacterial small subunit ribosomal RNA", at positions 355 to 525 of the family's 1533-position model. The record is from RNAcentral.
UGGGGAAUUUUCCGCAAUGGGCGAAAGCCUGACGGAGCAAUACCGCGUGAGGGAUGAAAGCCUGUGGGUUGUAAACCUCUUUUCUCAAGGAAGAAGUUCUGACGGUACUUGAGGAAUAAGCAUCGGCUAACUCUGUGCCAGCAGCCGCGGUAAUA